Long non-coding RNA from Sinocyclocheilus grahami, 342 nucleotides. RefSeq lists it as uncharacterized. The transcript is spliced from 3 exons. NCBI's taxonomy places the organism in Eukaryota, Metazoa, Chordata, Actinopteri, Cypriniformes, Cyprinidae. The record is from RefSeq and is a predicted model, not a curated record.
UUCAGACGUUUGCUCUGCAGAAACAUUCUUCUAAUACUGUGUGAAGUGCAUUGGCAUUUAAGUUACUUUACAGGCAACAGUUUUCUACUGAAAGAGGCUAAACUAGUUUAAGGAUUACCUUUACUUUGCGAAAAGCAAACUGAUUUGGCAUUUAAAAAAUAGGGAUUUUUUGUUUUUCAGUCAAAGUUCGGAUUACACAAUGUGCUUUUACCUGAGGGCAGUGCUGUUCAUGUUAAAUCUGCAUUGUACAUUCCAGAAUGCACUGUCACAUUUUUACAUGACAUACCCUUUACCGAAAGAAACAUUUGCAUUUUGUCAUAUAUUUGUAUGGUUUCCAGACCU